GAGUUUGAUCUUGGCUCAGAUUGAACGCUGGCGGCAUGCCUUACACAUGCAAGUCGAACGGCAGCAUGAUCUAGCUUGCUAGAUUGAUGGCGAGUGGCGAACGGGUGAGUAAUACAUCGGAACGUGCCCUGUAGUGGGGGAUAACUAGUCGAAAGAUUAGCUAAUACCGCAUACGACCUGAGGGUGAAAGUGGGGGACCGCAAGGCCUCAUGCUAUAGGAGCGGCCGAUGUCUGAUUAGCUAGUUGGUGGGGUAAAGGCCCACCAAGGCGACGAUCAGUAGCUGGUCUGAGAGGACGAUCAGCCACACUGGGACUGAGACACGGCCCAGACUCCUACGGGAGGCAGCAGUGGGGAAUUUUGGACAAUGGGCGAAAGCCUGAUCCAGCAAUGCCGCGUGUGUGAAG
This 405-nucleotide ribosomal RNA is filed under the name uncultured microorganism. Its description in RNAcentral is "bacterial SSU rRNA". It matches the Rfam family "Bacterial small subunit ribosomal RNA", at positions 9 to 410 of the family's 1533-position model. The record is from RNAcentral.